AGCCAUUUCUGCUUAAUUGAGUUCAGUCAGUAGUUAGGUCUGCCUCUUGCAGUGAACAGAAUAAAGCAGCCUAUGGUUCACUCCCAGGGGCCACCACACAAGUGUGUCCAUGCAGCUGGAAUUUCAGGUGUGUCACCCUGGAGCUGAGGCCUCCAGAUGGACUCGUAGAAGGGAGAUGUGUAAGGCUCCAUCCCUCAGCAGCCCACGAUCUCUGAAGGUUUGCCACUGUGGCCAAUGUUUUAUGGAAGCUUCUGAGGCCGUAGAGCAGAGGGAAGUUCUGAGCACACGGAGGACAAGCCAGGGUGGUGCUGUGUGGCCGCAAACAACCCUAAGUAGGGAUACGUGUGGGGACAGGCUCUAACACCUUGAUUCCUUAUGUCUGUGUCUCUGCAGUAUGUUUCAUGGAGAGUCUGAGUGACAGCAACCAUGAUGAAAGUGAUACAGACUCAGUGGUGGAGAGCCUGAGCAGCCGCCAGGAUGAGGAGGCUGCAGCAACCCUCGAUGAUGUUGUGGAGGCCGGCGGGAGUGAGAAGACGGAGGAAGAGGCCCUGGCUGGGGCAAAUGAGGAGGAGGUGGGGCCGGGAACUGAGAAGGUGCAGGAGGAGGCUGCCUGCAUUGACGAGGCAGAGGAGGAGGCAGGCCCAUCCCUUGAAAAUGACGAGGAGUCCCCAGCCAGCGACCUGGUUGAGCAGGAAGACCAGCUUGCCCCCAAGGUAAGCUCACCUUUCUUGAUCGGAGAUUUAAAAAGGUGCCUCCUUUCUUCUUGGAUGUGCCUACUUCAGAAAAGGAAAUCUGAGCAAGUCCAUUAUAGAGGAU
This 816-nucleotide long non-coding RNA is filed under the name Sus scrofa (pig). Its description in RNAcentral is "lncRNA (ENSSSCG00070004751.1)". Lineage: Eukaryota; Metazoa; Chordata; Mammalia; Artiodactyla; Suidae. The record is from RNAcentral.